Columba livia (rock pigeon) is the source of this 869-nucleotide long non-coding RNA. RefSeq lists it as uncharacterized. The transcript has 4 exons. The record is from RefSeq and is a predicted model, not a curated record. Lineage: Eukaryota; Metazoa; Chordata; Aves; Columbiformes; Columbidae.
AGGACCGUGGGCAUUUGUACUGAGCUGUGACAUCUCUAACCCGUGACAUUGGGGUCCAGCAAGUACCAAAGAGCAGGUGAGGACCGUGGGCAUUUGUACUGAGCUGUGACAUCUCUGACCCGUGACAUUGGGGUCCAUCCUGAGCAGGGCACGUGCGGAAGCUGUGCUGCAGGGAGGGCAGAGCUGAGGGGAAGGGCUGUGCGAGGGGCUGGUGCCAAGGCAAGGUGGGCGCGCUGUGGGGUGUGGGGAGGUGUCAGCCCCGGACUCAGCCCCUGUCUGACUGUAGUGCCCUUGGGCUGCUGUAGCUCAGUCCUCCGUGUGUUUCUCUUCAGGGGAGCAGCGUGCAAAGGAAAAGCAAGGAAGGAGGUGAACCUGUGAGGAAGAGUGAUGGAUAAAGGGGGUUGGAGCGCACCUGCCAGUCAAGAGGGAUCAAGAGAGAAGACACCGGUGGUGGAACCACAGGUCAGGAGAGCUCAGGUUCAGAGCCCGAGCCUCAUUUGGUUGUAUCUGUAAACAUCAAACAUCUCAGCACGAAUCACAACUGCAUUUCUCACGACAGAAGUGCCUGAACUGCACAGCUUGCCUGGCAGUGCAGAGAGCAGCAAGUGUGGAGUAUUGCGCUGUGAGCCUGGAAACCUCUCUGCUCUGUGCUUGACUCCAGGCCAUGGCAUUGGCAGAGCUGAUCGAGCUUCUCAGCUGGAUCCUGGUUCUGAGCCUUGGGCUGUCCCAGAGGUGACUGAGGAAGAAGGAGAUCACAACAUGCCAAGGAAGCUCCUCACCCGUGUUGGACUCCCUGUUUGGUUCCUGCAGUCCAUGGUGAUCAAGCCUCUUGGUGUAAUCCUGUUCCUGAGCCUGGGGGCAAUCCCAGG